AUGGAUCAGCUUUUCAUUACAACGGACAAGUUUGAUGUAAAUCUAGGACAUGUCUCCGAAAGUUUCAAGGUCGGUAAAUCAGUACGCACCGAAGCAAUAGAGCCCAUGCUAACAAUCUUGAGAAAAGAACUCAAUGGCACACGGAGAAAGAUUCUGUCGUUAAGCAACACUUUCCUUCUACCAUGUUCAUUGAACGGGUUUGAGCAAGACGAAACUAUAAGUCAUUACUUCACCAUCACAGUUGACAUGCAAAAACAGCGUUUUGAACUCCUCGACUCUUCAACUGCAUAUACAGGCACAAUAGAAUUCUUCAACAAUGUAACCAGCAAAUUAAUGAAAAUCUGGAAGCACAUAAGCACAGAGCUACAACUUUCAGAAAAAAGCAUCGACCAUUACAAAAAGGUCAGACUGCAGGUGCCACUUCAAGGAGAAGACACAAUGGACUGCGCAUUCUAUAUGUACAUGAACCUGAAGCACUACUCCAGUGAUGGAACAACAGCAACCUUAAAGCCAGAACAAGUACGAAAGUUGAGGAAAAAGGUUUACAACAGGUAA
This 555-nucleotide ribosomal RNA is filed under the name Triticum aestivum (bread wheat). RNAcentral's name for it is "partial small subunit ribosomal RNA". The record is from RNAcentral. Lineage: Eukaryota; Viridiplantae; Streptophyta; Magnoliopsida; Poales; Poaceae.